CUACGGGACGCUGCAGUGAGGAAUAUUGGACAAUGGAGGCAACUCUGAUCCAGCCAUGCCGCGUGCAGGAAGACGGCCCUAUGGGUUGUAAACUGCUUUUAUACAGGAAGAAACGCCUCCUCGUGAGGGGGUUUGACGGUACUGUACGAAUAAGGAUCGGCUAACUGCGUGCCAGCAGCCGCGGUAAUACGGAGGAUCCAAGCGUUAUCCGGAAUCAUUGGGUUUAAAGGGUCCGUAGGCGGUUUAAUAAGUCAGAGGUGAAAUCCUACAGCUCAACUGUAGAAUUGCCUUUGAUACUGUUAGACUUGAGUUAUUGUGAAGUAGUUAGAAUGUGUAGUGUAGCGGUGAAAUGCAUAGAUAUUACACAGAAUACCGAUUGCGAAAGCAGAUUACUAACAAUACACUGACGCUGAGGGACGAAAGCGUGGGUAGCGAACAGGAUUAGAUACCCCCGUAGUC
This 459-nucleotide ribosomal RNA is filed under the name uncultured bacterium. RNAcentral's name for it is "partial 16S ribosomal RNA". It matches the Rfam family "Bacterial small subunit ribosomal RNA", at positions 339 to 795 of the family's 1533-position model. The record is from RNAcentral.